This 253-nucleotide ribosomal RNA is filed under the name uncultured bacterium. Its description in RNAcentral is "partial 16S ribosomal RNA". It matches the Rfam family "Bacterial small subunit ribosomal RNA", at positions 524 to 776 of the family's 1533-position model. The record is from RNAcentral.
UACGUAGGGUGCAAGCGUUGUCCGGAAUCAUUGGGCGUAAAGCGCGCGUAGGUGGCUUCGUAAGUCCGUUGUGAAAGUCAAAGGCUCAACCUUUGAAAGCCGAUGGAUACUGCGGAGCUAGAGUACGGAAGAGGCGAGUGGAAUUCCUGGUGUAGCGGUGGAAUGCGCAGAUAUCAGGAGGAACACCAAUAGCGAAGGCAGCUCGCUGGGACGUUACUGACGCUGAGACGCGAAAGCGUGGGGAGCAAACAGG